RNAcentral lists this long non-coding RNA (1015 nucleotides) under Nicotiana benthamiana. RNAcentral describes it as "long non-coding RNA (NBEN_LNC002999)". The record is from RNAcentral. Lineage: Eukaryota; Viridiplantae; Streptophyta; Magnoliopsida; Solanales; Solanaceae.
AACCGUGGUGCACUUGCGGGAAACUCCUUGCCGAGGGCCUGUGCACCCCGGGAUUAGUCGGGGCUCUUUGAGACUCGGACACCUAGUGCAAAUAAAAAAAUAAUAAUAAAGGAUGAAAUAGCAUAAAUUUUUAAUAGACGUACAACAAUUGCUGUCUAAAACUAUCCCCAAAAUUUGUGUCUAAAAUGGAAAAUACAAUACUGUCUGGUACAAUAAACAAUAGUAAAGGAUAGGAAGGGAACUGCAGGGUCUGCGAAUGCCAUGCAGAACUACCUCAAGUCUCCGGGACAAGGUCUGAGCAAUCACCUCUGAACGCCGCUUGGACCAACACUGGGAUUUGCACAAGAAGUGUAGAACAGUAGUAUGAGUACAAUCGGCCCCAUGUACUCAUUAAAUAUCGAGCAUAACCUCGACGAAGUAGUGACGGGGCUAUGAUAAGACACUGACUGUAAACUUGCAUGAGUAAUAAACAAAGAAACAAUAACAAUGUAAAGAAAUGAAUAACUACAUAACGGACGGAGUAAAAAAAGUAGAUAACAGAGGGCCCCAGAAUAACAUCACGUCACAACCUCGAAACAUAACACGACACUGGAGUAUAAAAACCAAAAUUAGUUAUAUCACAUCCUUUCCGUUGCGGCAUGCAACCCGAUUCAAUAUAUAUUAGUAACAACACAUACUACAAAUCUCACAACAUAACAUAAAAGGGAACUAAAACACAUAAUUUUUCUUAGGCAAUCCAAUAUAACAUAGUAGAGUGAAAUAGGAAACAAGUAAAGAUAUUAAGGCAAGUAAAGACAUGAAAUAGGUAAAAACAUCUUUCUAAUAACAUGUAAGAGCACAUAACAAUUAAAGGUGUACAAUAACUAAAAGUAUGAAAUAAGUGAGAACGUGUUACAAUUUAGGACAUCUAACAUGAACGGACACAUAUAUCAAGUAAAACAUGUAUCACGUAUGAGCACCUAGCAAAUAAUAACAUGAAAUAAGUAAAUACAUGACAUAAUUAAAGAUGUAAGGU